Molecule: ribosomal RNA, 484 nt
Filed under: uncultured bacterium
Lineage: Bacteria
Description: partial 16S ribosomal RNA
Rfam family: Bacterial small subunit ribosomal RNA
Source: RNAcentral
AUUGAACGCUGGCGGCAGGCCUAACACAUGCAAGUCGAGCGGAUGAAGGGAGCUUGCUCCUGGAUUCAGCGGCGGACGGGUGAGUAAUGCCUAGGAAUCUGCCUGGUAGUGGGGGAUAACGUCCGGAAACGGGCGCUAAUACCGCAUACGUCCUGAGGGAGAAAGUGGGGGAUCUUCGGACCUCACGCUAUCAGAUGAGCCUAGGUCGGAUUAGCUAGUUGGUGGGGUAAAGGCCUACCAAGGCGACGAUCCGUAACUGGUCUGAGAGGAUGAUCAGUCACACUGGAACGGGGACACGGUCCAGACGCCUACGGGAGGCAGCAGUGGGGAAUAUUGGACAGUGGGCGAAAGCCUGGUCCAGCCAUGCCGCGUGUGUGAAGAAGGUCUUCGGAUUGUAAAGCACUUUAAGUUGGGAGGAAGGGCAGUAAGUUAAUACCUUGCUGUUUUGACGUUACCAACAGAAUAAGCACCGGCUAACUUCGUG